GGACUACAGGGGUAUCUAAUCCUGUUUGCUACCCACGCUUUCGUGCCUCAGUGUCAAUGUCGGACCAGUUGGUCGCCUUCGCCACCGGUGUUCUUCCCAAUAUCUGCGAAUUUCACCUCUACACUGGGAGUUCCACCAACCUCUUCCGAAUUCCAGACAGGCAGUCUAAAGAGCAGUUCCAGGGUUAAGCCCUGGGAUUUCACUCCUUACUUACCAAUCCACCUACGCACGCUUUAAGCCCAGUGAUUCCGAACAACGCUCGCUCCCUUCGUAUUACCGCGGCUGCUGGCAC
Molecule: ribosomal RNA, 292 nt
Filed under: uncultured bacterium
Lineage: Bacteria
Description: partial 16S ribosomal RNA
Source: RNAcentral